RNAcentral lists this transfer RNA (77 nucleotides) under Mammillaria zephyranthoides. RNAcentral's name for it is "tRNA-Arg". It matches the Rfam family "tRNA". From Rfam's summary of the family: Transfer RNA (tRNA) molecules are approximately 80 nucleotides in length. Their secondary structure includes four short double-helical elements and three loops (D, anti-codon, and T loops). Lineage: Eukaryota; Viridiplantae; Streptophyta; Magnoliopsida; Caryophyllales; Cactaceae. The record is from RNAcentral.
GGGCCUGUAGCUCAGGGGAGAAUAGAGCACGUGACUACGAACCAUGAUGUCGGGGGUUCGAAUCCCCUCAGGCCCAC